This is a long non-coding RNA of Aricia agestis (brown argus), 124 nucleotides long. RefSeq lists it as uncharacterized. The record is from RefSeq and is a predicted model, not a curated record. The transcript is spliced from 3 exons. NCBI's taxonomy places the organism in Eukaryota, Metazoa, Arthropoda, Insecta, Lepidoptera, Lycaenidae.
GAUGUAGAAGACGGCACGGCGCCGUCUGUUAUGAUUUUUUGGAAGUACCUUAAUUUGAAGAAAUUUACGCAUAAACACCCCCUUACAACCCCUUUUAAGUAGCCUAAAAAGUAGCCUAUGUCCU